UAAGCAACCUGCCUAUCAGAGGGGAAUAACAGUGAGAAAUCAUUGCUAAUACCGCAUAAGCUAGUAGUAUCACAUGAUACAGCUAGAAAAGGAGUAAUCCGCUGAUAGAUGGGCUUGCGCCUGAUUAGCUAGUUGGUGGGGUAACGGCCUACCAAGGCGGCGAUCAGUAGCCGAACUGAGAGGUUGAACGGCCACAUUGGGACUGAGAUACGGCCCAGACUCCUACGGGAGGCAGCAG
RNAcentral lists this ribosomal RNA (238 nucleotides) under uncultured bacterium. Its description in RNAcentral is "partial 16S ribosomal RNA". It matches the Rfam family "Bacterial small subunit ribosomal RNA", at positions 118 to 354 of the family's 1533-position model. The record is from RNAcentral.